CGAGGAUGUCGCUUCCAGCUGCAAUGCUGUUCGCUUCUAUCAAUUAUAUGUAUACAAAAGAAGGGAUGUUGCAGUGAAGUUAGUACAAAAGGCAGAAAACUGUGGAUUCAAGGCUCUAGUUUUGACAGUUGAUACUCCCAGGCUUGGUCGAAGGGAAGCAGAUAUAAAAAAUAAGAUGAUUGCACCAAAGUUAUCAAAUUUGGAAGGACUACUAUCUGUGGAAUUUGAUUCCAAAGGUGCUUCUAAUCUUGAAGCAUUUGCAUCAG
This 266-nucleotide unclassified non-coding RNA is filed under the name Hevea brasiliensis (rubber tree). The record is from RNAcentral. Lineage: Eukaryota; Viridiplantae; Streptophyta; Magnoliopsida; Malpighiales; Euphorbiaceae.